UUGGUUAGUUUCGGCUUGUGGGAAGUAUUCUAAUCGAUCAAUGGAGCAGGUGGGCAGGCAAGCAAUCAUCCAUGUACGCCGUGCUCCAGGUCAUGAUGUCGUCGUCUAGCUCAUGGCUAAUUAACUACUCGAACGAUUGAAUAUGGCGAACUGACGGCCAGCUCCAUCCGGUCUAGUGGCCGGGCGACGGGCGUGAGCCUAUAAAUCCAUCCACGGGUAGCCGAAUGUCAUCACACACAUUGACCUUGCGCAAACACCAUCGUCGCACCCACGGUUUUAGUUAGCUCUCGGCCUUAGCUACGCACGGUACGAUGUGAGGGUUUGAGGACGAAUUGCUCCGGGGAAAGAAGGAAGGUGAGGGGUGGGCCGCCUCGAAUUGGGGACAAUGCUUGAAACGUGCAGUGGGCAUGGAAACGCCCGACGGGGAAGCGGUUCAUCUACCCGACAGUUGCUACGAUAGGGUAGGGAGGGAUGGCGUCAGGAUACCACGCAUCAAAUACAGUGACCCCGGUGUCUUCACUCAGGUUGGCGAUUUUGCGCGUGCGGUGCCGAUGAUGGUACAGGCGGCUGCGGCGAAAACGAUAGAGUUGGCUAAGGCGGAAAUGGAAGAAGUGGCUAACAAUAGAUGGAGUUAAGUUAUACCUACCUACUUGGGCUUUAAAAAAAAAUGAUACCUACUAGGCCGUGUGUGGGCCAAAUGUUUCCCGGUUUCCCAGUUGUUGCGUGAAGUGCGUCCAGUCUAAGGACUAAGAAAAAGGAGAAAAACGUUACUAAAAAAAAGGAGAAAAACAAGAACAUUGGGAAAUUUUCUACCGCUGCAAGCUUUUAAUUCGUCCGUAGACUAAUCCACCUACGGUGUAACCUUUUAUACCAAAGACAUGGGAAGGAACAAAGAAGAGUAAUGCUACAUUGCUCUUCCCUUUGUUCUCUGUGUUUCCUUCUGAACACUAGGGCAUGUUUGGUCGGAGUCUACCGAUGUGACACUUUUUCUUGCCCAAAUAUAUGGCAAGCCACAACUUUUGUUGGACCUAACUCAACGUCGCUCAAGGAAAACCUAGCCCCCGCGUCGCUCCUCCCGCGGGCGACACGGGCGGCGCCGCCACCCCUUGCCGCUAGCCCUCCUCCUCCUCCCCUUCCCCACCGCCGCCGGGGCAAAGCCUCCCGCGGUGGCUGGCGGCGGGGGCCUUCUCCCCUCCUCGUGUUCGUGGCCUGCGGGAGCGGCCAGGCCGAGCGGAGGCGCUGGGGUGCGCGGAUCCUGGCGGCGCGGCGGCGACGAUCUUGAUGACGGCUGCAGAUGGGUCGACGCCG
Long non-coding RNA from Aegilops tauschii subsp. strangulata, 1308 nucleotides. RefSeq lists it as uncharacterized. Lineage: Eukaryota; Viridiplantae; Streptophyta; Magnoliopsida; Poales; Poaceae. The record is from RefSeq and is a predicted model, not a curated record.